GUCGAGAAUCUUUCACAAUGGGGGCAACCCUGAUGGAGCGACGCCGCGUGGAGGAUAAGGUCUUCGGAUUGUAAACUCCUGUCAUGCGUGAACAAGGUUGCUUGGUUAAUACCUGGGCAAAUUGAUGGUAACGCAAGAGGAAGAGACGGCUAACUCUGUGCCAGCAGCCGCGGUAAUACAGAGGUCUCAAGCGUUGUUCGGAAUCACUGGGCGUAAAGGGUGCGUAGGUGGCGUGGUAAGUCAGAUGUGAAAGCCCGGGGGUCAACCUCGGAACUGCAUCCGAUACUGCCAUGCUAGAGUAAUGGAGAGGUGACUAGAAUUCUCGGUGUAGCAGUGAAAUGCGUAGAUAUCGAGAGGAAUACCAAAGGCGUAGGCAGGUCACUGGACAGUUACUGACACUGAGGCACGAAGGCCAGGGGAGCGAACGGGAUCAGAUACCCUAGUAGUCC
RNAcentral lists this ribosomal RNA (449 nucleotides) under uncultured bacterium. Its description in RNAcentral is "partial 16S ribosomal RNA". It matches the Rfam family "Bacterial small subunit ribosomal RNA", at positions 354 to 796 of the family's 1533-position model. The record is from RNAcentral.